Molecule: ribosomal RNA, 253 nt
Filed under: uncultured bacterium
Lineage: Bacteria
Description: partial 16S ribosomal RNA
Rfam family: Bacterial small subunit ribosomal RNA
Source: RNAcentral
UACGUAGGGGGCAAGCGUUGUCCGGAAUCACUGGGCGUAAAGCGCGCGCAGGCGGUCAUCUACGUCUGGGGUGAAAGCCCGGAGCUCAACUCCGGGAUUGCCUUGGAUACGGGAUGACUUGAGGAUCGGAGAGGCAAGGGGAAUUCCACGUGUAGCGGUGAAAUGCGCAGAUAUCAGGAGGAACACCGGUGGCGAAGGCGGAUCUCUGGGCCGUAACUGACGCUGAGGAGCGAAAGCGUGGGUAGCAAACAGG